This 439-nucleotide ribosomal RNA is filed under the name uncultured bacterium. RNAcentral's name for it is "partial 16S ribosomal RNA". It matches the Rfam family "Bacterial small subunit ribosomal RNA", at positions 339 to 795 of the family's 1533-position model. The record is from RNAcentral.
CUACGGGCCGCUCCAGUGAGGAAUAUUGCACAAUGGGGGGAACCCUGAUGCAGCAACGCCGCGUGGAGGAUGACGCAUUUCGGUGUGUAAACUCCUUUUAUAUGUCAAGAAAAUGACGGUAGCAUAUGAAUAAGCACCGGCUAACUCCGUGCCAGCAGCCGCGGUAAUACGGAGGAUGCAAGCGUUACUCGGAAUCACUGGGCGUAAAGGACGCGUAGGCGGGUUGGAAAGUCAGGUGUGAAAUCCUACAGCUUAACUGUAGAACUGCACUUGAAACUUCUAAUCUAGAGUAUGGGAGGGGGAGAUGGAAUUAGUGGUGUAGGGGUAAAAUCCGUAGAUAUCACUAGGAAUACCUAAAGCGAAGGCGAUCUCCUGGAACAUUACUGACGCUAAGGCGUGAAAGUGUGGGGAGCAAACAGGAUUAGAUACCCCCGUAGUC